Molecule: small nucleolar RNA, 132 nt
Organism: Mastomys coucha (southern multimammate mouse)
Lineage: Eukaryota; Metazoa; Chordata; Mammalia; Rodentia; Muridae
Product: small nucleolar RNA SNORA17
Exons: 1
Source: RefSeq, a predicted model, not a curated record
ACUACCCCUAGAGGUUUUGCAUGACUGGCUUCUGUGUCACCUGUGCCUCAGGAGGUGGCAGAGAGGACAGAGGCUAUAUCUAAGCUCAGUGUUCUGACCUGCAAAUGUCUGAAUGAUUAGUAGCCUAACGUU